CAAUAGCGUAUAUUAAAGUUGUUGCAGUUAAAAAGCUCGUAGUUGGAUUUGUGGCGGAACCUGCGGUCCAAUUUGGUACUCUCAGGGCCUGCCAUCUUUCAGUGGAGCCUGUCUGGCAUUAGGUUGUCGGGCAGGGGAUGCUGAUCGUUUACUGUGAAAAAAUUAGAGUGUUCCAAACAGGCUUAUGCCGUUGAAUAUAUUAGCAUGGAAUAAUGAGAUAGGACUUGGGUACUAUUUUGUUGGCUUGCGCACCAAAGUAAUGAUUAACAGGGACAGUUGGGGGUAUUCGUAUUCCAUUGUCAGAGGUGAAAUUCUUGGAUUCUUGGAAGACGAACUACUGCGAAAGCAUUUACCAAGGAUGUUUNCAUUAA
Molecule: ribosomal RNA, 371 nt
Filed under: uncultured eukaryote
Lineage: Eukaryota
Description: partial 18S ribosomal RNA
Rfam family: Eukaryotic small subunit ribosomal RNA
Source: RNAcentral